Molecule: small nucleolar RNA, 81 nt
Organism: Trichechus manatus latirostris (Florida manatee)
Lineage: Eukaryota; Metazoa; Chordata; Mammalia; Sirenia; Trichechidae
Product: small nucleolar RNA SNORD115
Exons: 1
Source: RefSeq, a predicted model, not a curated record
CAGUCAAUAAUAACUUCUGAAAGUAUGCUGAAGGGAGAUAAUUACAUAAAAAUCAUGCUCAAUAGGAUUACGCUGAGGCCC